This 253-nucleotide ribosomal RNA is filed under the name uncultured bacterium. Its description in RNAcentral is "partial 16S ribosomal RNA". It matches the Rfam family "Bacterial small subunit ribosomal RNA", at positions 524 to 776 of the family's 1533-position model. The record is from RNAcentral.
UACGUAGGGGGCAAGCGUUGUUCGGAAUUACUGGGCGUAAAGGGCGCGUAGGCGGCACGGCAAGUCAGAAGUGAAAGGCCUGGGCUCAACCGAGGAACUGCUUUUGAGACUGCCGAGCUAGAGUGCGGAAGGGGCAACCGGAAUUCCCAGUGUAGCGGUGAAAUGCGUAGAUAUUGGGAAGAACACCUGAGGCGAAGGCGGGUUGCUGGGCCGACACUGACGCUGAGGCGCGAAAGCCAGGGGAGCGAACGGG